GGAGAGGUGGCCGAGUGGCUGAAGGCGCGCCCCUGCUAAGGGUGUAUAGGGAAACCUAUCGAGGGUUCGAAUCCCUCCCUCUCCGCCA
RNAcentral lists this transfer RNA (88 nucleotides) under Deltaproteobacteria bacterium. RNAcentral's name for it is "tRNA-Ser". It matches the Rfam family "tRNA". From Rfam's summary of the family: Transfer RNA (tRNA) molecules are approximately 80 nucleotides in length. The record is from RNAcentral. RNAcentral also lists the same sequence under 2 other names. Lineage: Bacteria; Pseudomonadati; Myxococcota; Myxococcia.